RNAcentral lists this ribosomal RNA (300 nucleotides) under uncultured Actinomadura sp. Its description in RNAcentral is "bacterial SSU rRNA". It matches the Rfam family "Bacterial small subunit ribosomal RNA", at positions 115 to 418 of the family's 1533-position model. Lineage: Bacteria; Bacillati; Actinomycetota; Actinomycetes; Streptosporangiales; Thermomonosporaceae. The record is from RNAcentral.
ACGUGAGCAACCUGCCCCUGACUCUGGGAUAAGCCUGGGAAACCGGGUCUAAUACCGGAUAUGACCAUCCUCCGCAUGGUGGGUGGUGGAAAGUUUUCGGUCAGGGUUGGGCUCGCGGCCUAUCAGCUUGUUGGUGGGGUGAUGGCCUACCAAGGCGACGACGGGUAACCGGCCUGAGAGGGCGACCGGUCACACUGGGACUGAGACACGGCCCAGACUCCUACGGGAGGCUGCAGUCGAGAAUCUUCCGCAAUGGGCGCAAGCCUGACGGAGCGACGCCGCGUGGAGGACGAAGGCCCU